AUGCCUUACACAUGCAAGUCGGACGGCAGCGCGGGCUUCGGCCUGGCGGCGAGUGGCGAACGGGUGAGUAAUACAUCGGAACAUGUCCAGUAGUGGGGGAUAGCCCGGCGAAAGCCGGAUUAAUACCGCAUACGAUCUUUGGAUGAAAGCGGGGGACCGAAAGGCCUCGCGCUAUUGGGGUGGCCGAUGGCGGAUUAGCUAGUUGGUGGGGUAAAGGCCUACCAAGGCGACGAUCCGUAGCUGGUCUGAGAGGACGACCAGCCACACUGGGACUGAGACACGGCCCAGACUCCUACGGGAGGCAGCA
This 307-nucleotide ribosomal RNA is filed under the name Burkholderia sp. DV24. Its description in RNAcentral is "bacterial SSU rRNA". It matches the Rfam family "Bacterial small subunit ribosomal RNA", at positions 45 to 353 of the family's 1533-position model. The record is from RNAcentral. Lineage: Bacteria; Pseudomonadati; Pseudomonadota; Betaproteobacteria; Burkholderiales; Burkholderiaceae.